UACGUAGGGUGCGAGCGUUAAUCGGAAUUACUGGGCGUAAAGUGUGCGCAGGCGGCCGCGCAAGUCGAGUGUGAAAUCCCCGAGCUUAACUUGGGAAUUGCGCUCGAAACUACGUGGCUGGAGUGUGGCAGAGGAAGGUGGAAUUCCACGUGUAGCGGUGAAAUGCGCAGAUAUCAGGAGGAACACCGGUGGCGAAGGCGGUUCUCUGGGCAUUACCUGACGCUGAGGAGCGAAAGUGUGGGGAGCGAACAGG
Molecule: ribosomal RNA, 253 nt
Filed under: uncultured bacterium
Lineage: Bacteria
Description: partial 16S ribosomal RNA
Rfam family: Bacterial small subunit ribosomal RNA
Source: RNAcentral